Molecule: unclassified non-coding RNA, 278 nt
Filed under: Artocarpus thailandicus
Lineage: Eukaryota; Viridiplantae; Streptophyta; Magnoliopsida; Rosales; Moraceae
Description: partial contains external transcribed spacer and 18S ribosomal RNA
Source: RNAcentral
UUGUCUGGUUUCCUUGUUCCUCCUUGCAGCCCCGUGGUUCCAAGGUGGACGUCGAAGCAGUUGCUGUGGCCCUGAAGCAAUCCUUUCGAGGCGGCUUUUCUUGGUCCAUGGGUCUCUGUUUGUGCUCUCGGAUGCGGAAUACUAUGCGGACAAAGGGCCUUUGGCCUUUGGUUGCUCCGAAUCUAGUCCCUCGACACGAACGACUAUCGUUACCUUAUUGGCCGUUGGGUUCAUUUGGUGCGAGGUCGCGGAGGAAUGCUACCUGGUUGAUCCUGCCA